GGCACUGGAGAAUCACACCAGCUUUCAUUCUCUGUGGCCCCUCAAACAGCCUUUUUUGUGUGGUUCUAGACUAUCUUCGUUCUUCUCCCUACAAAAUUUGUCUUCUCCCAUUUGUUCUGUGUUCCCUCUGGUACAGGCUGAACCUGAACUAGAAAGGAAGAAACGCCCACGUGCUGACCCUCCCCUACAUGAAGCUCUUUCCCUGCAUUACUGCUUGCAAGGAACCAGCAGGAAGAGGCACCACUGCCUUAUUCCUGCUCCUUCAACUAGUAACAAAAGGUCCAUUGAUCUGGUGGAUCUGUACAGGCACAUUGUGGAGAGUAAGAGGGUUCUGGGCUUUGAGCUGGGAAAGCUGAGUUGAAGACAUCAGUGCUUACCACAGCAUGUUGACCACUGGAGGCUUGCUUGAUGGCCUGCUGCAGCAGUCUGCAUGGGGAUGUGUGCAGCUAUCACGGCACACAGCCCAUCAGACACCAGGGGAAGCUGAGCCCAAUGGAGGGCAGGAUUCCAGCUCCCCACAGGGCACUGAGGCUCAAAGCUUGAAGAUAAAGAAAGAUGCAGCCUGGGCUCUGAGUUGCUAUCCUGUGACAACACAGGUAUUGUUGGAGCAGUGUGUCCCAAGUGCCAGUAGCAAAAGAACUAUGGUAGGGCCUGGCUCUCUAGUGACCACUACAUCUCUGGGGCCAGCAUGUCACUCUGACUGACUCUGAUCACCCUUUGGGCACUUCCAAGGGCCUGGGGCUGCACCUGUUGGUGGUACAGCCAGCCACCAUCAGAAUGGGGUUAUCUGUCUCAGGCAGGCCAUCCUGCAUGUACCAACAUGAGGGUCACCAAUAAUAACCACCAGGCUUUCUCAAGCUUCAAUAAUAAGCAUUCCUACCCUA
Molecule: long non-coding RNA, 884 nt
Organism: Suricata suricatta (meerkat)
Lineage: Eukaryota; Metazoa; Chordata; Mammalia; Carnivora; Herpestidae
Exons: 4
Source: RefSeq, a predicted model, not a curated record